RNAcentral lists this transfer RNA (74 nucleotides) under Planctomycetota bacterium. Its description in RNAcentral is "tRNA-Ile". It matches the Rfam family "tRNA". From Rfam's summary of the family: Transfer RNA (tRNA) molecules are approximately 80 nucleotides in length. RNAcentral also lists the same sequence under 1 other name. Lineage: Bacteria; Pseudomonadati; Planctomycetota. The record is from RNAcentral.
GGGGCCGUAGCUCAAUCGGUUAGAGCAGCCGACUCAUAAUCGGUUGGUUGUGGGUUCAAGUCCCGCCGGCCCUA